RNAcentral lists this long non-coding RNA (336 nucleotides) under Fukomys damarensis (Damara mole-rat). Its description in RNAcentral is "lncRNA (ENSFDAG00000023016.1)". The record is from RNAcentral. Lineage: Eukaryota; Metazoa; Chordata; Mammalia; Rodentia; Bathyergidae.
UGCUGACAUUUUGUUUGUAUUUCUGACCAUUCCACAGAUAUUUAGGGAGGGGAUGGAGUAAACUGCAUUUGUAUAUGGAAGGAAAGGUGCAAAAUCUAGAGAAAACUGAAAAGUUACUGAACUAUAUCAAACCGUAUGUCAAAGCACACACCUUCCAGGCCAGCAAGAAACUGUGAAAUAUGGUAGAGGAUGAACUCCAGAGCCAGCUAACCUGAAUUUGAAACCACGCCCUAUUCCGGUUUUCUGAUUGUGCCUUGUUAGGUGGGUUGCAUAAAAUCUCCAUGGUUCAUUUCCUCUGCAAUAAAACAAGGUAAGAAUAUUAUUUAUAUAAAAGAA